CCUGGCCAACAUGGUGAAACCCCAUGUCUGCUAAAAAUACAAAAAUUAGCCGGGUGUGGUGACGCAUGCCUGUAAUCCCAGCUACUUGGAAGACUGAGGCAGGAGAAUUGCUUGAACCCAUGAGGUAGAGGUUGCAGUGUGCUGAGAUUGUGCCACUGCACUACAGCCUGGGCGGCCCAGCAAGAAAGUCUCCAAAAAAAAAAAAAAAAAAAAAGACCCAGUUUCCAGAUUCCAGGUCACAGAAGGUGGGAUCAUCAGUAGGCAGGUCACAGAAAGCCUCCUUCACCUGGUGGAAUAUACUUUGGCAUAAUAAAUCAAGGCCUUGCAGGACUGAGUCGUAUCAGAGCCAACAGUACAUUGGAUAAAUGAAGUUCUAUUAUGAAAGGCACAAGUCGUUCAGUGUUUAUUUCGUGAAGCGCCACUUUGUGUGUUCCCCUAGGGGUUGAUGUUCUUGCCAUAAAGGUCGGUGGUAAUUCUUUUGGCCAAGAUAAUCCAGUUGACUCUGUUAAUUUAGCUCAUUUUAGUUUUGUGAUGCCGUUUCUCCAUUCAGCCUUUCCAGAAGACUGAAAGUGAUAAGGGCAAUGAUAGUGCCAUUAGGUCUGUAAACUCUUAUUUGGUGGAUGACCUGUCAAAUAAAGCGAAUCGCCCUAGCACUAGAGACCUCCUCAGCAGGUAGGUGGGAUUUCAUCUUUCUGGAGCCUGAGCGUCUCCAAAGAAGAGCUGGCUGAUGGAGCUUCCCUGACCGGUGACCUCCACCCUCUUCUCUCCAGAGCUCUUUGCCCCAGCGGUAUCUGCAGGAAUGGAGGGAGUUGGCCAAAGCAGAGAGAUUUUUACUCAGCCCCCAUCCAGUGGAGACUGAUCCCUGGCCACCCAUUCAGCUGCCUGAGAGCCCUGGGCCCAGUGUUCAUCCCCCGCCUCCCAAAACAGAGGUGUGUAGAGGUUCCCUGCCUGGAGUCCCAGCCCUGCCAGGGUGGAGAAAAUGGGCACCAGUUACUGUGACCCAUUCCGGCUCCAUAUG
Molecule: long non-coding RNA, 1018 nt
Filed under: Piliocolobus tephrosceles (Ugandan red Colobus)
Lineage: Eukaryota; Metazoa; Chordata; Mammalia; Primates; Cercopithecidae
Description: lncRNA (ENSPTEG00000017937.1)
Source: RNAcentral